GGAGGGGUGGCCGAGUGGACGAAGGCGGGUGACUUGAAAUCACUUGACCCCGAAGGGGGUCCGGGGGUUCGAAUCCCUCCCCCUCCGCCA
This 90-nucleotide transfer RNA is filed under the name marine sediment metagenome. It matches the Rfam family "tRNA". From Rfam's summary of the family: Transfer RNA (tRNA) molecules are approximately 80 nucleotides in length. Their secondary structure includes four short double-helical elements and three loops (D, anti-codon, and T loops). Further hydrogen bonds mediate the characteristic L-shaped molecular structure. tRNAs have two regions of fundamental functional importance: the anti-codon, which is responsible for specific mRNA codon recognition, and the 3' end, to which the tRNAs corresponding amino acid is attached (by aminoacyl-tRNA synthetases). tRNAs cope with the degeneracy of the genetic code in two manners: having more than one tRNA (with a specific anti-codon) for a particular amino acid; and 'wobble' base-pairing, i.e. permitting non-standard base-pairing at the 3rd anti-codon position. RNAcentral also lists the same sequence under 1 other name. The record is from RNAcentral.